This 643-nucleotide ribosomal RNA is filed under the name uncultured bacterium. RNAcentral's name for it is "bacterial SSU rRNA". It matches the Rfam family "Bacterial small subunit ribosomal RNA", at positions 202 to 842 of the family's 1533-position model. The record is from RNAcentral.
CAAAGGAAGCGAUUCCGGCGGGGGAUGGGCAUGCGGCGCAUUAGCUAGUCGGCGGGGUAACGGCCCACCGAGGCGACGAUGCGUAGGGGUUCUGAGAGGAAGGUCCCCCACACUGGUACUGAGACACGGACCAGACUCCUACGGGAGGCAGCAGUGAGGAAUAUUGGUCAAUGGGCGGGGGCCUGAACCAGCCAAGUCGCGUGAGGGAAGACGGUCCUACGGAUUGUAAACCUCUUUUGCCGGGGAGCAACGGGGUCCUUGCGAGGGCCCGAUGAGAGUACCCGGAGAAAAAGCAUCGGCUAACUCCGUGCCAGCAGCCGCGGUAAUACGGAGGAUGCGAGCGUUAUCCGGAUUUAUUGGGUUUAAAGGGUGCGUAGGCGGGCUGUUAAGUCAGCGGUCAAAUGUCGGGGCUCAACCCCGGCCUGCCGUUGAAACUGGCGGCCUCGAGUGGGCGAGAAGUAUGCGGAAUGCGUGGUGUAGCGGUGAAAUGCAUAGAUAUCACGCAGAACUCCGAUUGCGAAGGCAGCAUACCGGCGCCCGACUGACGCUGAGGCACGAAAGCGUGGGUAUCGAACAGGAUUAGAUACCCUGGUAGUCCACGCAGUAAACGAUGAAUGCUAGCUGUCCGGUUCUACGGGACUGG